Molecule: non-coding RNA, 22 nt
Filed under: Arabidopsis thaliana (thale cress)
Lineage: Eukaryota; Viridiplantae; Streptophyta; Magnoliopsida; Brassicales; Brassicaceae
Source: RNAcentral
GGGAAACGAGGUGGUCAUGGCU